Molecule: ribosomal RNA, 1311 nt
Filed under: Triticum aestivum (bread wheat)
Lineage: Eukaryota; Viridiplantae; Streptophyta; Magnoliopsida; Poales; Poaceae
Description: partial small subunit ribosomal RNA
Source: RNAcentral
AUGCCAGACAGCUCUCCCGCACACUCACUCGCGGCUAGCUCACACACCUCUCAUCUCAUGGUGCUCCAGACCGCUCAGCAAGAACCAUCCCUGACGCGUCCGCCUCACUGCAGCGUCGCCAGCGCGCGCUCGCCGGCGGCCAUGGACACCAGCCCUGCAACUCCCCUGCUCCUCCAGCCUCCUGCUCCCAGCAUUGACCCGUUCGCCGCCAAGGCGGCCGUCAACAAGGGCGGCGGCGCGGCAACCGCGGUGUACGACCUCCGGAGGGAGCCGAAGAUCCCCGCCCCGUUCGUGUGGCCGCACGCCGAGGUGCGCCCCACCACGGCCCAGGAGCUGGCCGUGCCGGUGGUGGACGUGGGCGUGCUGCGCAAUGGCGACGCCGCGGGGCUCCGCCGCGCCGUGGCGCAGGUGGCCGCGGCGUGCGCCACGCACGGGUUCUUCCAGGUGUCCGGGCACGGCGUGGACGAGGCCCUGGCGCGCGCGGCGCUGGACGGCGCGAGCGGCUUCUUCCGGCUGCCGCUGGCCGAGAAGCAGCGCGCGCGGCGCGUCCCGGGGACCGUGUCCGGGUACACGAGCGCGCACGCCGACCGGUUCGCCUCCAAGCUCCCCUGGAAGGAGACCCUCUCCUUCGGCUUCCACGACCGCGCCGGCGCCGCGCCCGUCGUGGUGGACUACUUCACCAGCACCCUCGGGCCGGACUACGAGCCAAUGGGGAGGGUGUACCAGGAGUACUGCGGGAAGAUGAAGGAGCUGUCGCUGAGGAUCAUGGAGCUGCUGGAGCUGAGCCAGGGCGUGGAGAAGCGCGGGUACUACCGGGAGUUCUUCGCGGACAGCAGCUCCAUCAUGCGGUGCAACUACUACCCGCCGUGCCCGGAGCCGGAGCGCACGCUGGGCACGGGCCCGCACUGCGACCCCACGGCGCUCACCAUCCUACUGCAGGACGACGUGGGCGGGCUGGAGGUCCUCGUCGACGGCGACUGGCGCCCCGUCCGCCCCGUCCCCGGCGCCAUGGUCAUCAACAUCGGCGACACCUUCAUGGCGCUGUCGAACGGGCGGUACAAGAGCUGCCUGCACCGCGCGGUGGUGAACCGGCGGCAGGAGCGGCGGUCGCUGGCCUUCUUCCUGUGCCCGCGCGAGGACCGCGUGGUGCGGCCGCCGCCGGGCCUGAGGAGCCCGCGGCGGUACCCGGACUUCACCUGGGCUGACCUCAUGCGCUUCACGCAGCGCCACUACCGCGCCGACACGCGCACCCUCGACGCCUUCACCCAGUGGUUCUCCUCCUCCUCCUCCUCGGCCCAGGAGGCGGCCUGA